AACGCGAAGAACCUUACCUGGGCUCGAAAUGUAGUGGAAUCCGGCAGAAACGUCGGCGUCUAGCAAUAGACCGCUAUAUAGGUGCUGCAUGGCUGUCGUCAGCUCGUGUCGUGAGAUGUUGGGUUAAGUCCCGCAACGAGCGCAACCCUUAUCUUCAGUUGCUACCAUUUAGUUGAGCACUCUGACGAAACCGCCUCGGAUAACGGGGAGGAAGGUGGGGAUGACGUCAAGUCCUCAUGGCCUUUAUGUCCAGGGCUACACACGUGCUACAAUGGCCGGUACAAACCGCUGCAAACCCGCGAGGGGGAGCUAAUCGGAAAAAGCCGGCCUCAGUUCGGAUUGGAGUCUGCAACUCGACUCCAUGAAGCUGGAAUCGCUAGUAAUGCUAUAUCAGAACGAUAGCGUGAAUACGUUCCCGGGCCUUGUACACACCGCUAGUC
RNAcentral lists this ribosomal RNA (440 nucleotides) under uncultured bacterium. Its description in RNAcentral is "bacterial SSU rRNA". It matches the Rfam family "Bacterial small subunit ribosomal RNA", at positions 958 to 1398 of the family's 1533-position model. The record is from RNAcentral.